Adelges cooleyi (spruce gall adelgid) is the source of this 921-nucleotide long non-coding RNA. RefSeq lists it as uncharacterized. The transcript has 2 exons. The record is from RefSeq and is a predicted model, not a curated record. NCBI's taxonomy places the organism in Eukaryota, Metazoa, Arthropoda, Insecta, Hemiptera, Adelgidae.
CUGGACUUUUAAUUAGGUAAAAUCAUUAACACUGUGUGUGUGUGUAUGUGUAUACGUUAGUAGAAGUAAAUAAAAUGUUUGUUUCCUGUAGGAAUGCAAUAAUUUGUAACAUUGUUCAAAAGCACAAUGUACAUAUAUACCAAACGUGUAUUGUUUGGUUUAUGUAUUGAUUAAUAAUUAAAAAUUGUAAAAUGUAAUUUGAUCUAAUAGGCCAACGUUCGUCAGGUCACGUUUAUUGUAACACGCAUUUUUGGUACAUUGCGUUGCGAGCAAGCAGGUGUAGGUAGGUAUAUGUAUUCUUUAAUGAAAGUAUCGAUAAGUAGUUACAUAGUUUAUUGGAUGUGAAAUGGAUAAGCCGAGCAAACAAGGUUGUUCACCAACAAUAGAUAUCAGACACGGCGCAAUCGUCAGUGCACGUUAGCGUGUUUGGCUCAAAAACAUAACCUAUUGGAAACAACGGUUGCAGUGUGUCACAUGUUUAGGUUAAUCACUAAUGAGUUAUUUGUAUUUUAUUAUAUUAGAUAAACAGAAGUUUACAAAGUAAGAUUUUUUUUCUAAUAAUAACUUCUAACAGUAAUUUGUAUGUUUACAUUUUGUGAUGUUUAAUCAGUGACAAAUCAUUUUUAAGUCAAUUUGUUUUGUUUUAGCUUCAGCCUACGAAAUAAAGCUAUUUUUAAUACUUUGUUUGUUUUUUAAAGUACGUUUCGACUAAACAGGUAUGUAGGCGUCUAGUUUCAAAACCGGCUAAACGAAAUUUUUGAACAUUUUCACAAACGACAAAUAAUUUCUUCAGAUGGGCGAUUUUAAAACCAACCAACUUGGUCAAGUCUCAUGCUUGGACUCUUAGAUACUUUUUAAAAACUUUAAAUUAACUACAAAAAAAAAAAAACUAAGCUCAGUAUAAUCCAGUACAAUAAAAAU